CCAGCCAUGCCGCGUGCAGGAUGACGGCCCUAUGGGUUGUAAACUGCUUUUAUACGGGAAGAAAUGCACCUACGUGUAGGUGUCUGACGGUACCGUAAGAAUAAGGACCGGCUAACUCCGUGCCAGCAGCCGCGGUAAUACGGAGGGUCCGAGCGUUAUCCGGAAUCAUUGGGUUUAAAGGGUCCGUAGGCGGGCCUGUAAGUCAGGGGUGAAAGUUUGUGGCUCAACCAUAAAAUUGCCUUUGAUACUGCAGGUCUUGAGUCAUGGUGGGGUUGCCGGAACAUGUGGUGUAGCGGUGAAAUGCAUAGAUAUCACAUAGAACACCGAUCGCGAAGGCAGGUGACCAACCAUGUACUGACGCUGAUGGACGAAAGCGUGGGUAGCGAACGGGAUUAGAUACCCCGGUAGUCCACGCCGUAAACGAUGGAUACUAGCUGUGGGGACUUCGGUCUCCGUGGCCAAGCGAAAGUGAUAAGUAUCCCACCUGGGGAGUACGUUCGCAAGAAUGAAACUCAAAGGAAUUGACGGGGGCCCGCACAAGCGGUGGAGCAUGUGGUUUAAUUCGAUGAUACGCGAGGAACCUUACCAGGGCUUAAAUGCAGGCUGCAUGGGGUGGAGACACCCCUUUCUUCGGACUGCCUGCAAGGUGCUGCAUGGUUGUCGUCAGCUCGUGCCGUGAGGUGUCAGGUUAAGUCCUAUAACGAGCGCAACCCCUACCGUUAGUUGCCAGCAUGUAAAGAUGGGGACUCUAACGGGACUGCCGGUGCAAACCGUGAGGAAGGUGGGGACGACGUCAAAUC
This 800-nucleotide ribosomal RNA is filed under the name Flagellimonas lutimaris. RNAcentral describes it as "bacterial SSU rRNA". It matches the Rfam family "Bacterial small subunit ribosomal RNA", at positions 388 to 1191 of the family's 1533-position model. The record is from RNAcentral. Lineage: Bacteria; Pseudomonadati; Bacteroidota; Flavobacteriia; Flavobacteriales; Flavobacteriaceae.